This 1137-nucleotide ribosomal RNA is filed under the name Vibrio parahaemolyticus. RNAcentral describes it as "bacterial SSU rRNA". It matches the Rfam family "Bacterial small subunit ribosomal RNA", at positions 1 to 1355 of the family's 1533-position model. Lineage: Bacteria; Pseudomonadati; Pseudomonadota; Gammaproteobacteria; Vibrionales; Vibrionaceae. The record is from RNAcentral.
AUCAGCGGCCUAGCACCUGACGAUCUUUCCUAGAAUGUUGAAACGAUGUUAAAGUCUCACACAUCGCAUUCUAGAUCAUCGGUUCCAGAUCCGUAACGGAGAGCAGCAUUGGCGAAAUUUGACACCACUAGGCAGCAAGGCCUGAGGCAGCUUGCUGAGUAGUCGAACACAAGACUACAGAUUCGUCAAGCACUUUCAGUUCAUGAGAAUGGUUGAUGUAAGUUUAAUAGCUUGCGUAUUUUGACACUAAAGCGACAAGAAGAAAGCACUGGCUAAACUCCCGUGGCCCAGCAGCUGCUGUAAUACGGAGGGUUGCUAUCAUUAAUAGGAAUUACUCGGCGUAAAAGCGCACGCAUGUUGGUUUUUUUAAGUUAGAUGUGAAAGCCCCGGGGCUCAACCUCGGAAUUGCAUUUGAAACUGGCAGACAAGAGUACUGUAGAGGGGGGUAGAAUUUCAGGUGCAGCGGUGAAUGCGUAGAGAUCUGAGGAAUACCGGUGGCGAAGGCGGCCCCCGGGACAGAUACUGACACUCAGAUGCGACAGCGUGGGGAGCAAACAGGAUUAGAUACCCUUGGUAGUCCACGCCGUAAACGAUGUCUACUGGAGGUUGUGGCCUGAGCCGUGGCUUUCGGAGCUAACGCGUUAAGUAGACCGCCUGGGGAGUACGGUCGCAAGAUUAAAACUCAAAUGAAUUGACGGGGGCCCGCACAAGCGGUGGAGCAUGUGGUUUAAUUCGAUGCAACGCGAAGAACCUUACCUACUCUUGACAUCCAGAGAACUUUCCAGAGAUGGAUUGGUGCCUUCGGGAACUCUGAGACAGGUGCUGCAUGGCUGUCGUCAGCUCGUGUUGUGAAAUGUUGGGUUAAGUCCCGCAACGAGCGCAACCCUUAUCCUUGUUUGCCAGCGAGUAAUGUCGGGAACUCCAGGGAGACUGCCGGUGAUAAACCGGAGGAAGGUGGGGACGACGUCAAGUCAUCAUGGCCCUUACGAGUAGGGCUACACACGUGCUACAAUGGCGCAUACAGAGGGCGGCCAACUUGCGAAAGUGAGCGAAUCCCAAAAAAUGCGUCGUAGUCCGGAUCGGAGUCUGCAACUCGACUCCAUGAAGUAGGAAUCGUUUGUCAUCGUGGAUCAAAAA